RNAcentral lists this ribosomal RNA (403 nucleotides) under uncultured Oscillibacter sp. Its description in RNAcentral is "bacterial SSU rRNA". It matches the Rfam family "Bacterial small subunit ribosomal RNA", at positions 356 to 774 of the family's 1533-position model. Lineage: Bacteria; Bacillati; Bacillota; Clostridia; Eubacteriales; Oscillospiraceae. The record is from RNAcentral.
GGGGAAUAUUGGGAAAUGGACGCAAGUCUGACCCAACAACGCCGCGUGAGGGAAGAAGGCUUUCGGGUUGUAAACUUCUUUUAAGGGGGAAGGGUAGAAGACGGUACCCUUUGAAUAAGCAACGGCUAACUACGGGCCAGCAGCCGCGGUAAUACGUAGGUGGCAAGCGUUGUCCGGAUUUACUGGGUGUAAAGGGCGUGUAGCCGGGAAGGCAAGUCAGAUGUGAAAUCUGGAGGCUCAACCUCCAAACUGCAUUUGAAACUGCUUUUCUUGAGUGUCGGAGAGGUAAUCGGAAUUCCUUGUGUAGCGGUGAAAUGCGUAGAUAUAAGGAAGAACACCAGUGGCGAAGGCGGAUUACUGGCCGAUAACUGACGGUGAGGCGCGAAAGCGUGGGGAGCAAACA